RNAcentral lists this transfer RNA (67 nucleotides) under Pheidole taipoana. Its description in RNAcentral is "tRNA-Asn". Lineage: Eukaryota; Metazoa; Arthropoda; Insecta; Hymenoptera; Formicidae. The record is from RNAcentral.
UUAAUUAAAACCAAAAUAGAGGUAAAUUAUUGUUAAUAAUUUUAGUGAAUUAUAUAUUCUAAUUAAU